This 926-nucleotide ribosomal RNA is filed under the name Escherichia coli. RNAcentral's name for it is "partial 23S ribosomal RNA". It matches the Rfam family "Bacterial large subunit ribosomal RNA", at positions 2022 to 2925 of the family's 2925-position model. Lineage: Bacteria; Pseudomonadati; Pseudomonadota; Gammaproteobacteria; Enterobacterales; Enterobacteriaceae. The record is from RNAcentral.
CCACCCGAGACUCAGUGAAAUUGAACUCGCUGUGAAGAUGCAGUGUACCCGCGGCAAGACGGAAAGACCCCGUGAACCUUUACUAUAGCUUGACACUGAACAUUGAGCCUUGAUGUGUAGGAUAGGUGGGAGGCUUAGAAGUGUGGACGCCAGUCUGCAUGGAGCCGACCUUGAAAUACCACCCUUUAAUGUUUGAUGUUCUAACGUUGACCCGUAAUCCGGGUUGCGGACAGUGUCUGGUGGGUAGUUUGACUGGGGCGGUCUCCUCCUAAAGAGUAACGGAGGAGCACGAAGGUUGGCUAAUCCUGGUCGGACAUCAGGAGGUUAGUGCAAUGGCAUAAGCCAGCUUGACUGCGAGCGUGACGGCGCGAGCAGGUGCGAAAGCAGGUCAUAGUGAUCCGGUGGUUCUGAAUGGAAGGGCCAUCGCUCAACGGAUAAAAGGUACUCCGGGGAUAACAGGCUGAUACCGCCCAAGAGUUCAUAUCGACGGCGGUGUUUGGCACCUCGAUGUCGGCUCAUCACAUCCUGGGGCUGAAGUAGGUCCCAAGGGUAUGGCUGUUCGCCAUUUAAAGUGGUACGCGAGCUGGGUUUAGAACGUCGUGAGACAGUUCGGUCCCUAUCUGCCGUGGGCGCUGGAGAACUGAGGGGGGCUGCUCCUAGUACGAGAGGACCGGAGUGGACGCAUCACUGGUGUUCGGGUUGUCAUGCCAAUGGCACUGCCCGGUAGCUAAAUGCGGAAGAGAUAAGUGCUGAAAGCAUCUAAGCACGAAACUUGCCCCGAGAUGAGUUCUCCCUGACCCUUUAAGGGUCCUGAAGGAACGUUGAAGACGACGACGUUGAUAGGCCGGGUGUGUAAGCGCAGCGAUGCGUUGAGCUAACCGGUACUAAUGAACCGUGAGGCUUAACCUUACAACGCCGAAGCUGUU